GAUCCUUUACGAGUAACAACAACCUUGGCCGCAGUGUGAGUAAAGGUAACUUCUAUAGGAUACGGAGUGCAUUUGGAUUUGGUGCCAAACGACUGGCAAGAUUACUGGACUGCCCCGAAGAAAAUGUCAUUCAUGAAGUAAAUCAGUUCUUUAUGAAUACAUGGGACAGGCAUGGCAGUGGUCAAAGGCCAGAUGCACCUGGGGCUGAGUUGUGC
RNAcentral lists this unclassified non-coding RNA (215 nucleotides) under Hevea brasiliensis (rubber tree). Lineage: Eukaryota; Viridiplantae; Streptophyta; Magnoliopsida; Malpighiales; Euphorbiaceae. The record is from RNAcentral.